GGCCACCGGCACCUUGAGCGGCUCGGGGCGUUGCUGCCCACUGGCCGGGGAACCCUCGGGCUGCCCGACCGGGAGCUGCCGGCAGCGGGGCACCGGCUUCCCGGGGUUUGGGGUGGCAGGUCUUGGAAAUGUUGCCACAGAGGUGUAGAACAGUUUCCACCUCUCCUUUCCGGGGGUUGAAACCCACUACUGUAGAGGCAAGGAAGGAAGGAAAUCCCAGACGGGAGCAGCUCCGACGUCUCUCUGUGCCAAGCACACUCUGUAGGAGGACAAGUCAAUGCCAGCUGCGUGUCUAAGCUAUAGCUAUUAUUCUAUUGUAUUUCCAGUAGAGGAGCAAACACAUGGAGAGAUGGAAAUGGGUUCUUUCUCUAGGAAACAAAACCAGUGACAUUUCAGCCUGGCCUGACUAGCAAGUAAUGAGUGCUGCCAUCCUAUCAACACAAGUUUGCCUUCUCUAGUGAAGCUCUUAAAUCACACAAAACACCUUCAGAAGCAAGUAAGAUUAUCACAAUAAUCAUCCAUAUAUCCCAAUAUACUUCUCGAGGGCACCUGAUGAGAAGAAUGGUCCCUUACACUGCCUUCAUGAUUCCUUCAUUUAGUGACCAAGGGAUUCCUCAUAUGGAAGCAUUUGUGAUCUUUUCCCUUUGGUGAUGUUUGUUGCACAAUGAGGCUGAUCACUGCCAGGAUAACAGCCUGGGCUUUGUUGGGAAGUGUGAUGUAAUGGGCAUUCCUUGCAGUUUUUAUGCAAACACCUUUUUUUCCCUGGCUCCCACUGGUGCAUGUAAACUACUUGGCAAACAAUGAAACACUUAAGUGACGUGCUCUUUUUUUAUUGCAAUAACUUUUAUCUCUGCUAAGGACUAGUUCUUGGUAAAUUCUUCUUUGAAAGACCAAUGAUUGCCUUCAAACUUUCAAGACUUACUGCUUGGCAGUGAUGGGAAUUAUGAUGUAUGUACAGUUUUAGGAAAACUCUUCUCUGCAAAUCCUGCAAAGAAGUAUCUGUUCUCCAAAGACCUCCUCUGGCCUGACUUUUCCAGCACUUCUGGAUCCCCAAGGAGAGCAUGAAGACAGGGAGAAAAUGUGCCUACCACUUGUGCCUAUGGAGAGAUUUAGGAAAAUACUUGAUGGCUGGGUCACUUAUCCCUUCUGCUUCCUAUAAAUGCUCUGUGGCUACAGCUGUGAUAAAAGGGAAAUUCCGAUGUAUCCUUGAUGCUGUUCCAUUGCUUCUAGUAACAUUGGGAAAGUGAAGCCACUGCAAGCCUUUGAUCACUCCUGGGGUACAGGAAGAAUGCCAGCAGCUGCUCCAGAUUAUGCUCCCACCACUCCUGUGCCUGUGGGGAUGUGCUCAUGCUGCACCAAGGCACAGGGGCUUCCCCAGGGACCAGUGACCAUCCCAGUCCU
Molecule: long non-coding RNA, 1401 nt
Organism: Poecile atricapillus (Black-capped chickadee)
Lineage: Eukaryota; Metazoa; Chordata; Aves; Passeriformes; Paridae
Exons: 4
Source: RefSeq, a predicted model, not a curated record